GGGAAUAUUGGACAAUGGGCGCAAGCCUGAUCCAGCCAUGCCGCGUGAGUGAUGAAGGUCUUAGGAUUGUAAAGCUCUUUCACCGGUGAAGAUAAUGACGGUAACCGGAGAAGAAGCCCCGGCUAACUUCGUGCCAGCAGCCGCGGUAAUACGAAGGGGGCUAGCGUUGUUCGGAUUUACUGGGCGUAAAGCGCACGUAGGCGGACUUUUAAGUCAGGGGUGAAAUCCCGGGGCUCAACCCCGGAACUGCCUUUGAUACUGGAAGUCUUGAGUAUGGAAGAGGUGAGUGGAAUUCCGAGUGUAGAGGUGAAAUUCGUAGAUAUUCGGAGGAACACCAGUGGCGAAGGCGGCUCACUGGUCCAUUACUGACGCUGAGGUGCGAAAGCGUGGGUAGCAAACAGG
RNAcentral lists this ribosomal RNA (402 nucleotides) under uncultured bacterium. RNAcentral describes it as "bacterial SSU rRNA". It matches the Rfam family "Bacterial small subunit ribosomal RNA", at positions 357 to 776 of the family's 1533-position model. The record is from RNAcentral.